UAUUACUUUGUGUCUCUUAGUCAACCUGAUCUGGUCCAUGUUCGUGGGGAGGGCAUCAUGGACAUCAUGGGCAUGUCCACACCAGUGUCCACACCCUGUCCACCCCCCCGCACUCGCCCAUGCUGUCGCACAGACCAAAGCAGGCACUCCCGCACCCACUCCCUCAUAUCGAGGGGCACCAUCCAGCACCCCUCCCCCACUAAUGAUCCUUCCGCAGGUUCACCUACGGAAA
This 232-nucleotide unclassified non-coding RNA is filed under the name uncultured fungus. RNAcentral's name for it is "sequence contains ITS1". Lineage: Eukaryota; Fungi. The record is from RNAcentral.